Molecule: ribosomal RNA, 253 nt
Filed under: uncultured bacterium
Lineage: Bacteria
Description: partial 16S ribosomal RNA
Rfam family: Bacterial small subunit ribosomal RNA
Source: RNAcentral
GACGAACCGUGCGAACGUUGUUCGGAAUCACUGGGCUUAAAGGGCGCGUAGGCGGGCCGGACGGUCCGGAGUGAAAUCCCCCCGCUCAACGGGGGAACGGCUCCGGAUACCGCCGGCCUCGAGGGGGGUAGGGGCGAGCGGAACGCUGGGUGGAGCGGUGAAAUGCGUUGAUAUCCAGCGGAACUCCGGUGGCGAAGGCGGCUCGCUGGGCCCUCUCUGACGCUGAGGCGCGAAAGCCAGGGGAGCGAACGGG